Non-coding RNA from Schizosaccharomyces pombe (fission yeast), 378 nucleotides. The record is from the annotation of a GenBank genome assembly. Lineage: Eukaryota; Fungi; Ascomycota; Schizosaccharomycetes; Schizosaccharomycetales; Schizosaccharomycetaceae.
UUAAAUCGGUAAAGACCAAAACCCUUUUUAGAAACGUAUUAAAGAUAUGUUAGGAAGGCUGGCAAGUGAUUCAAUUGCAUGACCAAGGCUGGAUUAAGACAACACGUAUUGCUAAAAUACUUGUAUCUAAUUAUGAAAUUUCCACAAUACUAUCUGAACUAAUAACGAGUAUUGUUUACUUCUUGUUUGCUCCAACAACGAACUAGAAAUACCGAAAUAGGGGUCGUCAAGAAGUUUCUAUUUUAAUAAUUAUCAAUAAUGCACUUAAAUACUUGGACCUAAAUGAAUAAUAAUAUAUAUGAAGGCUGAUAUAUGUAUAACGAUAAAGAACGAGCGGAUGGCUGGAUACUUAUUUUCUCGUCAGCGUGACGCAUUUUA